Molecule: ribosomal RNA, 486 nt
Filed under: uncultured bacterium
Lineage: Bacteria
Description: partial 16S ribosomal RNA
Rfam family: Bacterial small subunit ribosomal RNA
Source: RNAcentral
AUUGAACGCUGGCGGCAUGCCUUACACAUGCAAGUCGAACGGCAGCACGAGUGCUUGCACCUGGUGGCGAGUGGCGAACGGGUGAGUAAUACAUCGGAACAUGUCCUGUAGUGGGGGAUAGCCCGGCGAAAGCCGGAUUAAUACCGCAUACGAUCCACGGAUGAAAGCGGGGGACCUUCGGGCCUCGCGCUAUAGGGUUGGCCGAUGGCUGAUUAGCUAGUUGGUGGGGUAAAGGCCUACCAAGGCGACGAUCAGUAGCUGGUCUGAGAGGACGACCAGCCACACUGGGACUGAGACACGGCCCAGACUCCUACGGGAGGCAGCAGUGGGGAAUUUUGGACAAUGGGCGAAAGCCUGAUCCAGCAAUGCCGCGUGUGUGAAGAAGGCCUUCGGGUUGUAAAGCACUUUUGUCCGGAAAGAAAUCCUUGACUCUAAUACAGUCGGGGGAUGACGGUACCGGAAGAAUAAGCACCGGCUAACUACGUG